Molecule: long non-coding RNA, 1189 nt
Filed under: Anser brachyrhynchus (Pink-footed goose)
Lineage: Eukaryota; Metazoa; Chordata; Aves; Anseriformes; Anatidae
Description: lncRNA (ENSABRG00000000077.1)
Source: RNAcentral
CCACCGUGGGGCCGGUUAUAUCCCAUAGUGACCAUUGUGGGACUGGUUUUAUCCCAUAGUGACCAUCACGGGGCCGGUUAUAUCCCACAGUGACCAUCACAGGGCCGGUUAUAUCCCAUAGUGACCAUUGUGGGGUUGGUUUUAUCCCACAGUGACCAUCACAGGGCCGGUUAUAUCCCACAGUGACCAUCAUGGGGCCGGUUAUAUCCCACAGUGACCAUUGUGGGACUGGUUUUAUCCCAUAGUGACCAUCGUGGGGCCGGUUAUAUCCCACAGUGACCAUUGUGGGACUGGUUUUAUCCCACAGUGACCAUCGUGGGGUUGGUUAUAUCCCACAGUGACCAUCGUGGGGCCGCUCGUACCCCACAGUGACCAUCGUGGGGUCGGUUAUAUCCCAUAGUGACCAUCGUGGGGAUGGUUUUAUCCCACAGUGACCAUCACGGGGCCGGUUGUACCCCACAGCCACCACCCCAGGACCGAUUGUAUCCUACAGCACCCAUCCCCGGGCCAAUUAUACCCCGUGACGACCAUCCCGAGGCUGGUUGUAGCCCACGGCACCCAUCCUAGGGCCAUCCUUGGGUCCUGCCCUACCCCGCAGCCGCAUGCCCUGCGUCCCACCUGCGUCCCAUGGCAAUUAGGAUUGGGGGGGGGCUCUCAAUUCCCACAGCAGCCAGCCCCAAACUUCCAUCUGCGUCCUACGGGAGCUGCCCUGGGGACAGCCGUGUGCCGUCCCCCUCCCGUCCCCUGUCCCCUGCCCCGCUCCCAGCCCCACGGCUCCUCACGCCGACUCUUUGCCUCCCCGCAGGGCCUGCCGGGGGAGCGAGGGCUGCCCGGCCCCACGGGGAAACCCGGCCCAAAGGGAGAUCCCGGCCACGACGGGGCCCCCGGCGUGGUGGGAGAGAAGGGCCCUCAAGGUCCGCAGGGUCCCCACGGCUUCCCGGGCACCAAAGGGCCCCCUGGCCCCGCCGGGAAGGACGGCUUGCCGGGACACCCGGGGCAGCGCGGCGAGCCGGUGAGACCCCCGCACCCCCCGCCCCCGUAGGGGACAGCUGGCCAAACCCAGCGUUAACCCCCUCUCCUUUCUCCUCCGCAGGGAUUUCACGGCAAAACCGGCCCCCCCGGCCCCACGGGGGUGGUGGGACCCCAGGUGAGGGGGGGGCAAAUCGGCAGAGCUUUGUGCGGGAGCGAG